AAACGUAGGAGGCGAGCGUUAUCCGGAUUUAUUGGGCGUAAAGCGCGUGCAGGCGGUUUGGAAAGUUGGAUGUGAAAGCUCCUGGCUUAACUGGGAGAGGUCGUUCAAAACUACCAGACUAGAGAAUGGGAGAGGGAAGUGGAAUUCCGGGUGUAAUGGUGAAAUGCGUAGAUAUCCGGAGGAACACCAGUGGCGAAAGCGGCUUCCUGGACCAUUUCCGACGCUAAGACGCGAAAGCUAGGGGAGCGAACGGGAUUAGAGACCCCGGUAGUCCUAGCUGUAAACGAUGUAGACUUGGCGUUGGCGGAGUUAAAUCUGCCAGUGCCGGAGCUAACGCGUUAAGUCUACCGCCUGGGGACUACGACCGCAAGGUUAAA
RNAcentral lists this ribosomal RNA (377 nucleotides) under uncultured bacterium. Its description in RNAcentral is "bacterial SSU rRNA". It matches the Rfam family "Bacterial small subunit ribosomal RNA", at positions 523 to 898 of the family's 1533-position model. The record is from RNAcentral.